AACGAACGCUGGCGGCAUGCCUAACACAUGCAAGUCGAACGAGACCUUCGGGUCUAGUGGCGCACGGGUGCGUAACGCGUGGGAACCUGCCCUUAGGUUCGGAAUAACUCCCCGAAAGGGGUCCUAAUACCGGAUAAUGUCUUCGGACCAAAGAUUUAUCGCCUUUGGAUGGGCCCGCGUUGGAUUAGCUAGUUGGUAGGGUAAAAGCCUACCAAGGCUACGAUCCAUAGCUGGUCUGAGAGGAUGAUCAGCCACACUGGGACUGAGACACGGCCCAGACUCCUACGGGAGGCAGCAGUGGGGAAUAUUGGACAAUGGGCGAAAGCCUGAUCCAGCAAUGCCGCGUGAGUGAUGAAGGCCUUAGGGUUGUAAAGCUCUUUUACCCGGGAUGAUAAUGACAGUACCGGGAGAAUAAGCUCCGGCUAACUCCGUG
Molecule: ribosomal RNA, 433 nt
Filed under: uncultured bacterium
Lineage: Bacteria
Description: partial 16S ribosomal RNA
Rfam family: Bacterial small subunit ribosomal RNA
Source: RNAcentral